CCUACGGGUGGCUGCAGUGAGGAAUAUUGGUCAAUGGGCGUAAGCCUGAACCAGCCAAGUCGCGUGAGGGAUGAAGGUUCUAUGGAUCGUAAACCUCUUUUAUAAGGGAAUAAAGUGCGGGACGUGUCCCGUUUUGUAUGUACCUUAUGAAUAAGGAUCGGCUAACUCCGUGCCAGCAGCCGCGGUAAUACGGAGGAUCCGAGCGUUAUCCGGAUUUAUUGGGUUUAAAGGGUGCGUAGGCGGCCUUUUAAGUCAGCGGUGAAAGUCGGUGGCUCAACCAUAGAAUUGCCGUUGAAACUGGGAGGAUUGAGUUUGUUAGAGGAAGGCGGAAUGCGUGGUGUAGCGGUGAAAUGCGUAGAGAGCACGCAGAACCCCGAUGGCGAAGGCGGCCUGC
RNAcentral lists this ribosomal RNA (394 nucleotides) under uncultured bacterium. RNAcentral's name for it is "partial 16S ribosomal RNA". It matches the Rfam family "Bacterial small subunit ribosomal RNA", at positions 338 to 729 of the family's 1533-position model. The record is from RNAcentral.